Molecule: RNA transcript, 2269 nt
Organism: Solanum dulcamara
Lineage: Eukaryota; Viridiplantae; Streptophyta; Magnoliopsida; Solanales; Solanaceae
Gene name: mitochondrial carrier protein CoAc1
Exons: 8
Source: RefSeq, a predicted model, not a curated record
GAGCUGAGAGAUACCGAAUUUGACCAGUCCCCAUAUUCCCAAUUCAUCAGCCUUCCUAGAACCAGGGAGGAAAACGAAUCUGGGGACGAGUCAAUUGAAAACGUUACCUUCAAGAAUCAGAAAAAAUACGAGAUUCUGCGGAAACCCAAUUUGUUUCUUGUAUUAAUCCACACAUUUUUGUGCUUUUCUUGUGCGUCAUCUGGGAAUACAUCCAUUUGUGCAUUGCUUGUAUCAAAAUGAGUAUUAAUUUUAUCGACUGCCUUUAGAUUUUUCGAUUCUGGGUAUUCUUGGAUUGCGAGAUUUGGUCAUAUGGGCAAGAUUGAAGUUUGAUAUUGAAAGAAGUAGUACUUAUUUCAGUUUGGAUCUUGUUAGCCUUGUGUUUGUUCAAUUUUCUUUGCAUCUGUUUCAUGAUACUUGUAAUAAUUGGUGAAAAACAAGGUAGGCUUGUGAACAUACGGUGUUCAAUUCCGGUUGUUCUCAAGCCAUUGGUUUACCCAUUUGAGCAAAAGGUUUUACCCUUUUGUAUCCCAAGAGAUAGGUGGGCCAAGGAAUUUUAUAAUCUACAAGGUGGAUAGUAAGUUGUUCCAUCUGAAGAUGAGUUCUUCUACACAAGGGACUACUUUGUCCACAAAUGUGGCAGGGUUAGUUGAUGGGUCUUCUUCUUCUGCUCAUACAGAGGUUUCAGUUUUUGAUGGUUUGCCAAUAUAUGUGAAGGAGCUGAUUGCUGGAGGAUCUGCUGGUGCAUUUGCCAAAACUGCAGUUGCUCCAUUGGAGCGUGUCAAAAUACUUUUGCAGACAAGAACUGAAGGAUAUCAUUCCCUUGGAGUUCAUCGAUCUCUAAAGAAGCUUCUGAAGCAUGAAGGUGUUAUUGGAUUUUACAAAGGAAAUGGAGCAAGCGUUCUCAGAAUUGUCCCAUAUGCUGCACUUCAUUACAUGACCUACGAGCGGUAUCGAGGAUGGAUAUUGAAUAAUUACUCUGCGUUAGGAACAGGACCUGUUGUAGAUCUUUUGGCUGGCUCAGCGUCCGGAGGAACUGCAGUUUUAUGUACAUAUCCCCUUGAUUUGGCUCGGACCAAACUGGCUUAUCAGGUCAAGGACACAAGAGGAAAUUUGGGGAAUGGCAGUAGACCAACUCAUGUUCAUCCUCAAUAUAGAGGCACUAAAAAUGUCCUAGAGGCUGUCUACAAGGAAGGAGGACUCCGUGCACUUUAUCGAGGUGUAGGGCCCACCCUUAUUGGUAUUCUUCCUUAUGCUGGAUUGAAGUUUUACGUUUAUGAGGAGUUAAAGAGACAUGUUCCCGAAGAGCACCAAUCCUCCAUUAUGAUGCGGCUCUCAUGUGGAGCUAUAGCUGGUUUAUUGGGUCAGACAUUUACAUACCCAUUGGACGUGGUUAGGAGGCAGAUGCAGGUAGAGCAUCUGCAACCUUCAUUGCAAGACAGAGCCAGAUAUAGGAACACAUUUGAUGGACUUUCUUCAAUUGUUCGUAAUCAAGGUUGGAGACAAUUGUUUGCAGGGCUCAGUGUUAAUUAUAUGAAGAUUGUUCCCUCAGUGGCAAUUGGUUUCACAGCAUAUGACACGAUGAAGGCGUACCUUCAUGUUCCUCCCCGGCAGAAAUCAAAAUCCGUAUCAGCUUCAUAAAUACACCCCUAAAUGCUGACUCACAUAAUUCUGUAUUUAAGCUUUUGAUGAUCUUUGUUUACCAAGGGAGAAAGAAUACGUAUUCAAGGCGUGCACAAAGUUCUCGCCAUAUGUGAGGUCUGGAGUCAAACCACAUUGGGACAAAUUGGCUGCUUGGAGAACCAAAGAUCGACACAUUCUAAGUGGAAUCCAUGUUUGCAACCAGGAAACCAACCUUGCAAGUUCCUCAUUUCCAAUCACAUCCAAGCAAAUUGCACAAUCAUUUCCCAACCUCAAAUCUUUUCCGAUGAUUCUAGGGAGUUUUUCGAGCUGCACGUCAGAAAUUCCUUGCAUUCGGGCUGUUUUGAUCACCACUCGUCGUCCCUACCUCUUGAAAAGACAACGUAGAGGUAGAAGAAGAAGAGCAAAGCCAAGACGGCGAAAGGUAAACAAAGUAGUAAAUACAGAGAGAUUGGCAUUUUCUCUUUUAAUUUACUUUUUGGUACAUUUGUUGGCAAGAAGCCAUCUCUGAAGAUGAACAUACAGCAAGAAGCUGAAGAGAAGAUGAAGAGAAAAACAAAGAAGAAAGAAGAAGGAACUCAACCGACAGAGACAUAGAAGUCUCCAGAAGAAGAAAAGAAAAGAAGAUAUU